RNAcentral lists this transfer RNA (72 nucleotides) under Parcubacteria group bacterium. RNAcentral describes it as "tRNA-Thr". It matches the Rfam family "tRNA". From Rfam's summary of the family: Transfer RNA (tRNA) molecules are approximately 80 nucleotides in length. Their secondary structure includes four short double-helical elements and three loops (D, anti-codon, and T loops). The record is from RNAcentral. RNAcentral also lists the same sequence under 1 other name.
GCCGGUGUAGCUUAACAGCAAAGCAACGGUUUUGUAAACCGUAGAGUGUCGGUGCAACUCCGACCAUCGGCU